This 21-nucleotide non-coding RNA is filed under the name Caenorhabditis elegans. Lineage: Eukaryota; Metazoa; Nematoda; Chromadorea; Rhabditida; Rhabditidae. The record is from RNAcentral.
GGAUCAAUGUUUGAAAGCAAU